AUUGAAGAUUGGUUGUCGAGAAUGGAUGUGAGAAAAUCGAGAUGUAUUGUCGUGAACACGGAACUCCAAGAUUAAUUUAGUUUCCUAGAAAAUUUCAAUAUAAAUUAAUAUUUGGAAAGUUAUUUGGUAUUUUAUCUAAAAUAUAAGACCCAUUUAUUAAUUUAAUUAAACUAAAACAAAUUAGUAAUUUCCAAAAAUGAGUCAAAAUAAAUUAUUUAAAUUCCAAGUUUGAUUUUGGAUUUAUUUUGUAAAGCUUUUUCCAUAUAGGGGUGGUUUUCGAACAAUUUUAUUAAAGUUAGAAGGUUUUGGACUUGAUAUGUAAAGAAAAUCCAAGAGAGGGUGAUAAGUAAUUAAUUUAAAUGAGAGUUUGAUGGGGGGUUGCUUUGUUAAAACUCUUAUAAUUUAAAGGAUUGUUUUAAUUAUUAUAACUAUGGGAAGGGAAUAAAAGCGUUUAAAAAAUAUGAAGUUUGUACAGUAACUUGCACGUUUAUGUACACAUGAGGGUAUACCUCCUGUGUUCUUCAUUUACGAUCGCAAGAAAGAAAAAAAUGCGUAGAUAAUCCUGUAACUAUUGGUAAUGCAUGAGGAUGUAAGAACCAAGCAAGAAGAUGGGAGGAGGGAUGACUUACAGAUGAAGAAUAGCAGCACAACACAUGUGGUGAUUGGUGGUUCACUGCAAUGGCAGUGGAGGUGCUCGGUGGUGAUAACAGGUAGCCGGCAGCAUCCUGCUGCCGGUUUUCCUUUCUUUUUCCGGUCAAUUCAAAGGCUGGGGGAGGUGGAGGAAGGUUGGAGAAGUUUUUCUUCGAGUUUAUAGCAGGUAAUGGUGGGGUUUUGAAGAUGGAAUAAGGCUGAUCCAGUGGUAUACCGUGAGAUAGAGAUAGAGAGUGUUUUAGAGAGAGAUAUGUAGAUCUUAGAGAUGGAGAAGAAAGCUGGAGGUUGAGGUGUGAUUUUUGGAGGUGGUCUAAGCUUCCUUUUACAGCCAAAGAAUGCCCAUACACAACACAAAUAAGCCAUACUUCCAA
This 1022-nucleotide long non-coding RNA is filed under the name Lactuca sativa (garden lettuce). RNAcentral's name for it is "long non-coding RNA (LSAT_LNC001523)". The record is from RNAcentral. Lineage: Eukaryota; Viridiplantae; Streptophyta; Magnoliopsida; Asterales; Asteraceae.